UUUUUUUUUUUUUUUUUUUUGCUUUUUUGGGCCGUAUGUGCAGCAUAUGGAAGUUCCUGGGGUAGGAGUUGAAUCGGAGCUGCUGAGCCCAGCCUAUGCCACAGCCGCAGCACCUCAGGAUCCAAGCCACAUCUGGGACCUACACCCCACCUCACUGCAAGGCUGGAUCCUUAACCCACUAAGUGAGGCCACGGAGCGAACCUGCAUCCUCACAGAUACUAGUCAGGUUCAUUUCUGCUGAGCCACAAUGGGAACUCCUAGAGACACUUUAUUUGCUAUAAAUUUUUGAUUCAGUAACAUUGAAUUCAUCACCCCUGUAAUUCAUGCCUGAGUGAAGCAUAUAUAUAGCACAUGUGUUUUCUCCAUCAGGCACAUGGCAGACUCUAGGUACAGUAAUGCAUUUCAGCACUACCUUUGGGGGUUGCUUUCAACAGAAAAAUCACUAAGAAAAAAAGGACAAAAAUUUGAAAAGUGUGGCACUAAACAGACUGUGAAGAGGACACUUGUUUAUGGUGAGAGCUGAAACAAGGAGACUGAACUUUGCUUCCUUAGACCUCAGAUGGGAACAUGCCACCAAAUUUUUCACCACUUUGCCCAUGUCCAUGAAUGGCUGCAAAAGCACUGCAAAUACUGAUUUUGGAGGUAUAGAUAUAUUUUAGAGAGUAGGAAAAUUCACAAAUACAUAAUCCAUGGCAAGUGAUGAUCCAAUGUAUUUCCAUUUUAUACUGCCCCAUUUCCAAUUGUACCUGCAGGUUUUUCAUUAAAUUUGUUGACCAGUAGUUUCUUGAAUGUCUUCUCUGCAUAAUGAGAUUGUAAGUACAUUGUGAGCAAGUACCAUAAACUAUUAUUUUCAAAUUUUACCCUACCUAGUACUAUAGUAAUUACACAAUAGAUUGUAGAUAAAAAUUUUUUUGAAUGAAUGGUUAUUGCUGGACCAGAAAUAGAGACCUGGGAAAGAUCAGAAUAUUCGAUACACCUCUAAUACACCUAUACUAUAACCUCUGGUUUGUGAUUUGUAAGGAGAAAUGUAGCACUUUUUCACGGCAACACCGGAUCCUUAACCUACUGAGCAAAGCCAGGGAUUGAACCUGUGUCCUCAUGAAUACUAGUCAGAUUCAUUAACCACUGAUCCACGACAGGAACUCCUGUAGUACUUUGAAAUAAGCAACAGAGAUUAAUGAAUAUCCUUUCAAUGGAACUGAUCCUAAAAGAUAUUCACCUUUAUCUUGGAUUAGACUCUUUUAGCAUUUCGUAGAAAAUUAUUUGUGGAGAACUGAUGAUAAUACAAACAAUUAUUGUCUAUGAAUAUGUGAACGAAUUUUAUCCAAAGGAGGGAGAACUCUCCUCUGUAGAAAAGCCAGUUUGUAUCCACUUGUAAGUUCAGUAUUCCUGUGCUCUAAAAUGUCUGCUUUUUCAGAUUCUACUUGAAUAGAUUGUAAUAUCUCUCUGGUUCUCUUUUUAAUGAGUUAAAUGAAAUUAUUUUGUAUGAUUUUACUUUUUUUUUUUUUUUUGAGAAUUAUCCUUAAACACUUUUGCAGUUCCCACUGAGAUGCCCCAUGUGUUCAUCCAACAGCCAGGUGAACUUUACCACCAGGGAAGUGUACCGUGGGUUGCUAAAUCCAGAUACUUCUUUUCCUGCUCCCAGAGGUUAAUCUGAAGCACAGUAGAGUUCUUUAGGUCUCUGCUUCUCUGUUUUCCUCACCUACUUUUUCUCCUCCACCAAUUUUUGAGGUUUGAGCUUGGCCAGUAAAUUAUUUCCCUUUCAUGGCAGCAAGGAUCAGGAAUGUAGUUGUGUGGUCUCACCAUUUGGUGGGCCCUAUAAAGGGAUUAACGAUUUAUGGAUAUCUAUUUCCUUCCUUCCUUCCUUCCUUCCUUCCUUCCUUCCUUCCUUCCUUCCUUCUUUUCCUUUCCUUUCCUUUCCUUUCCUUUCCUUUUUAGGGCCGCAUUUGUGGCAUAUGGAAGUUCCCAGACUAGGGGUCGAAUUGGAGCUGUAGCUGCUGGCCUACUCCACAGCCACAGCAACAUGGGAUCCGAGCCACAUCUGCGUCCUACACCACAGCUUAUGGCAACGCCGUAUCCUGAACCCACUGAGUGAGGCCAGGGAUUGAACCUGCAUCCUCAUGGAUACUAGUCGGAUUCGUUUCUGCCGCUCCCCUAUGGGAACUCCCUAUGGAUAUCUAUUUUCUGUUAAGUGGGAGACAGCAAAGAAUCUGGAUUCUUGACUUACCGCACCACAGCGGAAACUCCUGUAUUUCUUCUUGAUCCAUGGAAGUUGUUCUUCCUGCUGAAAACUAAAGUGGGUAAGACUGCUCCUCUCUUCUGUUGGAGGUGCCAUGGCUGAUGAUGGAGGAGAGAGGAGCAUGGACAGGUGCAGGGACGCGAAGUCUGAGCGUGGCUCUCCUCCAGAGGAGUAAGUCGCUAGUGGAGGCACUUUUCAGAGUGGGAUAGAGGCAUGGAAAACCUCAUUAAGGAAUGAAGGGCUCUACAGCUAGAAAUAGAGAUGAUUAGAGCUAUAGAAAUGUGACAGCAGGUAAUAUUCAGAAGUAUGAAUUUUGAGCAAUAACAAAGCAACUUAGAAUUACCAGAAAUUUGUUUUUCAAAUCCCUCAGCAGGGGCAUGACCAUUUCAGGUGUCUGGUCUGGGAUGUCCAGACUGGAUCAGCUACAAGGCAGAGUCAGGAUUAUGACAAAAGAAAAAUCCAGAACGGACAGAAGCAGAAAUAUUAGCCAUCUGGAGAAGACUAGUUUUGACAGGACAGGAGGAGUUGGAAAUUAAUACUAUAAUUAACUGGUCAAGGGGUCCAAACUUUCAGUUAUAAGAUGAAUAAGUUCUGAGAUCUGAAGUGCAGCAUAAUGACUAUGGUUAAUAAAAAUAUGUACCUGAAAUUUGCUAAGAUAAGUGUUCUCACCACACAUACAGGCAAUGAUAACUAAGUGGGGAGAGGGAUAGGAUAUGUUAAUUAACUAGUGAUAAUCAUUUCAAAAUCUUUAUAUAUAUCAAAACAUGUACACCUUAAUAUAUAUACACGGGUUUUGUUUGUUUGUUUUGCUUUGGCCCCACCUGUGGAAUGGGGAAGUUCUCAGGCCAGGGAUCAAACCUGACCCACAGCAGUGACAAUGCUGAGUCCUUAACCACUAGGCCACAGGGGAACUCCUAAUACAUACAGUUUUUAUUUGUCAAUCAUACUUCAGUAUUCUGGGAUUGGGGGGAGAAGUUAAUGCCAUAACCAGAGGAUAGCACUUGUGGUUUUUUAAGUUUCAAUUUAAAUAAUCUCUCCAGAUGUACUGUUAUAUCUCUAUACCAGGUGGACUUCAAUGACAUUUGUAGUUAAGAUUCAUUCACUCUUUCAUUUAGUCAUUUAUCACAACACUCAGUUUAAAGAAAUAAAGUAUUAAAAAGUAGCUGAGGGGAGUUCCCGUCAUGGCUCAGUGGAAAGGAAUCUGACUAGUAUCCAUGAGGAUGCAGGUUUGAUCCCUGGCCUCGCUCAGUGGGUUAAGGAUCCGAUGUUGUGGUGAGCUGCGGUGUAGGUCGCAGACGUGGCUUGGGUCCCAAGUUACACUGGCUGUGGUAUAGGCCAGCGGCUUUAACCUGAUUCAACCUCUAGCCUGGGAACGUCCAUACGCCGCCAGUGCAGCUCUAAAAAAAAAAAGUAGCCGAGGAAUUCCCUGGUGGCUUAGUGAUUAAGGAUUCAGCGUUGUCACUGCUGUGGUGCAGGUUCGAUCCCUGGCCUAGGAACUCCUGCAUGCCAGGGGCGCGGCCAAAAACUAACAUAGCUGAAACCUCUUGGCACUUCACCCACAACUCCUUCAUCUCCCCAGAUGUGACUACUCUCCUGAUUUUCCUCCUUUUCAUUUCCACAUAUGCUCUUAUGUAUUUCAAUGGAUGUAAGUGUACCAAACAGUUUGUAAUGUUUCAUGUAACAUAUUUUAAAACUAUGUAUAAGUGGGGUACUCUGUAUCUUCGUGCAACUUGCUUUUUCAUCUUAAUGUUGUAAUUUAAGGGAGUUCCUGUUGUGGCUCAGGGGUAAUGAAUUUGGCUAGUAUCCACGAGGAGGUGGAUUUGAUCCCCAGCCUUGCUCCAGCAUUGCUGUGCGCUGUGGUGUAGGUCAUCGACGCCACUCAGGUUCCACGUUGCUGUGGCCAUGGUUGUGGCUGGCAGCUGCAGCUCCAAUGUGACCCCUAGCCUGGGAACUUCCAUAUGCCACAGGUGCAGCCAUAAAAGGCAAAAAAAAAAAAAUAAAUAAAUUGUAAUUUAAGACUUACCCAUGUGUAUACCUCCAAUACUGGUUCAUUCACUUUUCAGUACUGUACAGCAUUCCAAAUACAAGGCAUAAUUUAUUAAUCCUUUAUUCUGCUGGUAUACAUUUAUAUUGUUUACAAAAACUGUAAACAAUAGUU
Molecule: long non-coding RNA, 4397 nt
Filed under: Sus scrofa (pig)
Lineage: Eukaryota; Metazoa; Chordata; Mammalia; Artiodactyla; Suidae
Description: lncRNA (ENSSSCG00055007052.1)
Source: RNAcentral